GAUGAACGCUGGCGGCGUGCCUAAUACAUGCAAGUCGAGCGAACAGACGAGAGUGCUUGCACUCUCUGACGUUAGCGGCGGACGGGUGAGUAACACGUGGGUAACCUACCUAUAAGACUGGGAUAACUUCGGGAAACCGGAGCUAAUACCGGAUAAUAUUUAGCUUCGCAUGAAGCAAUAGUGAAAGACGGUUCUGCUGUCACUUAUAGAUGGACCCGCGGUGUAUUAGCUAGUUGGUGAGGUAACGGCUCACCAAGGCAACGAUACAUAGCCGACCUGAGAGGGUGAUCGGCCACACUGGGACUGAGACACGGCCCAGACUCCUACGGGAGGCAGCAGUAGGGAAUCUUCCGCAAUGGACGAAAGUCUGACGGAGCAAUGCCGCGUGAGUGAAGAAGGUUUUCGGAUCGUUAAACUCUGUUGUAAGGGAAGAACAAGUACGUUAGUAACUGAACGUACCUUGACGGUACCUUACCAGAAAGCCACGGCUAACUACGUG
Molecule: ribosomal RNA, 499 nt
Filed under: uncultured bacterium
Lineage: Bacteria
Description: partial 16S ribosomal RNA
Rfam family: Bacterial small subunit ribosomal RNA
Source: RNAcentral